Molecule: unclassified non-coding RNA, 392 nt
Filed under: Melodinus cochinchinensis
Lineage: Eukaryota; Viridiplantae; Streptophyta; Magnoliopsida; Gentianales; Apocynaceae
Description: partial external transcribed spacer
Source: RNAcentral
ACAUCCUACCAGGCAUGCCUCUUCAUUUCUAGCCCAAGAGCUAUAUUUUCCUUGGGCUUGGCUCGUGUUUCCUGUGCUGCAUACCUAUUUGAAAGGCAUUCGGAUAGCCCAUUGUCUCUUGUUCGUCUUGUGCUACCCCUUUUGGGUGUGGCUUGGGGUGAACCUCAAAGCUUUUUCCGUGUGCCAUGUCGGCCACCUUGUGCUGCACAUGGCCCAUGGAGAUUUGCUUGAACUCUCGAAUACAGAAUGCUUAGUGGGUAUGUGGGGUCUUUGGCCUCUUUUUGCCCAAACAAGCGUUCGUCGCUUCUCAGCGCACGACAGCUGUGCAUGUUGUGAGUGUCCGUUCCUCGGUUCGGCCUACUCACAAGGUGCCAGCGUCAUCGAGGAAUGCU